GUGAAGCAGCUCUAUCAGGGGGUGCUGGGGAAGCUGAGAGAGCUCCACCCUGGCUGGGGGAUGUUUGGAGGGAAAACCGAAAGUCUGGAGAGGCAGGUGGAGCAGGAGAUGGUGCGACGGAGUGCACUGGGCAUUCAGCUGACACAGCUACUGGACAGCCAGCUGCAGAUCCUGCGGGUGGAGAUGAGAGCAGACCACAGCGGGCCAUGCAGAAGACCUUCAGAGACUGCUGGCUGAGGGUCAGACCUCGCUCUGGGAUAAACACAUCAAGCAACAUGAGCGAGUAGCUGAUGAGAUGACUGAGAUGGUAUCAGUGGAGAGCCAGAGGCUGGGGGCCUGGGUUGUGCUUAAAGAGGGCACUGGAGCACAACUAUUAUGCCCUGCUACUGGAUCAGUCCUCAGUAGGGAAGACGUCAUCGGUGAGGUGGGAAAAUGGGAAUCACCCCUGCUGUCUUUCAGUUCGUACCCUCCAUCCCGCCACGCUGAAAUCCAUGCUGCUUCCAAACUACGGGGGCUUCGUUCAGUCCAAUGGUUGGUGUUCCAUCUCGUGCUUGCGGCAGCCUAUUCAGAUUGGCUCUCCCAUGCUAGACCCUCGUACAGGUGACCUGGUGCUCAUCACCAGCGUCAGUCUUGAUCCCCAUACAGGAGCUGUACUACCAGUUGGGGGGCUUCUCUUGGGUGAGUCCUUCAAUAAGCCCUUGAGCGGCCGGAUGGCACGGGUUGGUGGAUGUAGUGUGCGAGGAGGAAAGGUGGUGCCUCAUGCUGGGGGUUUCCAGGCUCUGCUGGGCGCUUGCUUGCGGGUGGCGGAGCUCUUGCAAGGAUUCAGUGAGGAGUGGAGCUCAGCAGCUGCAGAUCCACAAGGGGAAAUCAAGCUUCCUGGCACUGAACUAUCCUUGCCAGCUCUCCCUGGGUUGGAGUAUCCUGACCCUGGAGGCUCGGGUUUGCAUGUCCCAGUUCUGGGAGCUCAGUUGGACUGGGUGUCAGGAUACAAGGUGCCUCUGGCAGCAACCAUGGAGGAUGCAGAUAGUAAAGGAGACGAGGAGGAGUGGGAGCAGCAGUGUUACUGGCACACCAAGCUUAAGGCCGUGCUGAAUGUAGUGAGUGUGUCCAUGGAGAGACUGGGGAUCGGCUGUCGGCACAGGAAACACAGCAUCUGGAUGGAGAACUGAGGGAGCAGGAACUGUGGGAGCAAUUAAUGCAGAAACAAGCAGAGCUCGAUGCUGUGAUUUCGUCUCUCCUCUGUUCUCGUCAGGUCUGCCAGCUGCGUGCUGACACCACACAGUCUUUGGUUUCUGGCACAUUCUGGAAUAAGGAUUUUGGUGUGCUGCAGCCCAAGGGUGUCAGAAACCCUCUGAAAUUAAUAUCCAUGAAUCAGCAGAAAAUCCCUCCUUGGCUUGAACGACUUUUUCAGCUGUUGGAGGAAACCAAAACACUUGGCCAGUCGACCAGCACACAGCGGCAGCAGAGCUCUGGUAAGCAGGUGUUCGGCCGAGACAGCACUUCCAGAAUGUGGACCGAAUCUGCGUCUGUUGUAAAAGGUAUCUCAACUCAGUCCUUUAAAGAUCAAAUGAAGGCUCCGUCUGCGAGUGAACAGAAUGCCAUGGUGCCCUCUCUUCCUCUGUCAAACACAUCUUACACUCAGAAAAGCCAGGAAAAAAACACAGCUGAACCACAGCCGGGGUGA
Cyprinus carpio (common carp) is the source of this 1684-nucleotide long non-coding RNA. The record is from Ensembl. NCBI's taxonomy places the organism in Eukaryota, Metazoa, Chordata, Actinopteri, Cypriniformes, Cyprinidae.